RNAcentral lists this long non-coding RNA (235 nucleotides) under Carica papaya (papaya). RNAcentral describes it as "long non-coding RNA (CPAP_LNC015422)". The record is from RNAcentral. Lineage: Eukaryota; Viridiplantae; Streptophyta; Magnoliopsida; Brassicales; Caricaceae.
CUGACUUCAAGAUCUUAGAUGAUGGGUUGUUUAGAUUUUAGAACUGAAUUUUGGUUCUUUUUGCUAUUAGAUUGGAUGUUCUCAAGAUUGCUUAUGCCUCCAAACUGUCCAUCCAUCUCAGGAGUAUAAAGAUGUACCAGGACCUGAAGCUCCAAUACUGGUGGUUGGGAAUAAAGAAGGACAUUUUCGACUACAUCUCUAGAUGCCUUACUUACUAGAGGAUUAAGGAAGAACA